Molecule: ribosomal RNA, 497 nt
Filed under: uncultured bacterium
Lineage: Bacteria
Description: partial 16S ribosomal RNA
Rfam family: Bacterial small subunit ribosomal RNA
Source: RNAcentral
GAUGAACGCUGGCGGCGUGCCUAAUACAUGCAAGUCGAGCGAACAGACGAGGAGCUUGCUCCUCUGACGUUAGCGGCGGACGGGUGAGUAACACGUGGAUAACCUCCCUAUACGACUGGGAUAACUUCGGGAAACCGGAGCUAAUACCGGAUAAUAUAUUGAACCGCAUGGUUCAAUAGUGAAAGACGGUUUUGCUGUCACUUAUAGAUGGAUCCGCGCCGCAUUAGCUAGUUGGUAAGGUAACGGCUUACCAAGGCGACGAUGCGUAGCCGACCUGAGAGGGUGAUCGGCCACACUGGAACUGAGACACGGUCCAGACUCCUACGGGAGGCAGCAGUAGGGAAUCUUCCGCAAUGGGCGAAAGCCUGACGGAGCAACGCCGCGUGAGUGAUGAAGUUCUUCGGAUCGUAAAACUCUGUUAUUAGGGAGAAACAAAUGUGUAAGUAACUAUGCACGUCUUGACGGUACCUAAUCAGAAAGCCACGGCUAACUACGUG